UGGUGCCAGCAGCCGCGGUAAUUCCAGCUCCAAUAGCGUAUAUUAAAGUUGUUGCAGUUAAAGAGCUCGUAGUUGAAUUUCGGGAUCGACGGGUCGGUCGCGCCUCUGGUGUGUACUGGCCCUGUCGGUUUCUCCCUUCUGACGAACCACGAUGUCAUUAAUUUGGUGUCGUGGGAAAUCAGGACUGUUACUUUGAAAAAAUUAGAGUGUUUAAAGCAGGCAUUCGCUUGAAUACAUUAGCAUGGAAUAAUGAAAUAGGACGUAUGAUCUUAUUUUGUUGGUUUCUAAGAUCGACGUAAUGAUUAAUAGGGAUAGUUGGGGGCAUUAGUAUUCAAUUGUCAGAGGUGAAAUUCUUGGAUUUAUUGAAGACUAACUACUGCGAAAGCAUUUGCCAAGGAUGUUUUCAUUAAUCAAGAACGAAAGUUAGGGGAUCGAAGACGAUCAGAUACCGUCGUAGUCUUAACCAUAAACUAUGCCGACUAGGGA
RNAcentral lists this ribosomal RNA (486 nucleotides) under uncultured Glomus. RNAcentral's name for it is "SSU rRNA". It matches the Rfam family "Eukaryotic small subunit ribosomal RNA", at positions 562 to 1052 of the family's 1831-position model. The record is from RNAcentral. Lineage: Eukaryota; Fungi; Glomeromycota; Glomeromycetes; Glomerales; Glomeraceae.